This 253-nucleotide ribosomal RNA is filed under the name uncultured bacterium. Its description in RNAcentral is "partial 16S ribosomal RNA". It matches the Rfam family "Bacterial small subunit ribosomal RNA", at positions 524 to 776 of the family's 1533-position model. The record is from RNAcentral.
UACGUAGGGUGCGAGCGUUGCCCGGAUUUAUUGGGCGUAAAGAGCGUGUAGGCGGCCUUACAGGUCAGCUGUGAAAACUCGAGGCUCAACCUCGAGACGUCGGUUGAAACCGUAUGGCUAGAGUCCGGAAGAGGAGAGUGGAAUUCCCGGUGUAGCGGUGAAAUGCGCAGAUAUCGGGAAGAACACCCGUGGCGAAGGCGGCUCUCUGGGACGGUACUGACGCUGAGACGCGAAAGCGUGGGGAGCGAACAGG